RNAcentral lists this ribosomal RNA (463 nucleotides) under uncultured bacterium. RNAcentral's name for it is "partial 16S ribosomal RNA". It matches the Rfam family "Bacterial small subunit ribosomal RNA", at positions 28 to 507 of the family's 1533-position model. The record is from RNAcentral.
GAUCAACGCUGGCGGCGUGCCUAAUGCAUGCAAGUCGAACGGGGAAUCCUUCGGGGUGCUUACGUUGCGGACGGGUGAGGAACACGUUGGCAAACUGCCCUGCGGUGCGGGGUAGCCGCCGGAAACGGCGGGUAAUUCCGCAAGAGCUCCUCGCUCGGUGGGGGGGGUGAGGGGAGGGUCGCGAGGGCUGGCUUGGGGUGCGCCGGCGGCCGGUUAGUUUGUUGGUGGGGUGACGGCCUACCAAGGCGGGGAUCGGUGGCUGGUCUGAGAGGACGGCCAGCCAGACGGGGACUGAGACACGGCCCCGACUCCGGCGGGAGGCGGGAGCAAGGAAGUGUCCGCGAUGGGCGAAAGCCUGACGGAGCAACGGCGCGUGGGGGAGGACGUCUGUCGGGGUGUAAACCCCUUUUGUUGGGGACGACGACCGACGGUACCCGAGGAAGAAGGACCGGCUAACUACGUG